UCCGGGUACUGGGACUGGCUGACCUUCUCUGCCCUAGGAGCCUGGGAUGGCGGCGGGGGAGCUUUCUUCCGCGUGCUGGGAUGGGCUCAGCUUCUCCACCUAUUAGUUAUAUUUUGAAAAAGAAUAAACUAGAGAUUUCAAAAUUUUCCAAGUGUCUCUCACUAAUUAAUUGCAAAGGAAAACCUGGAAGUCCAAAUGAUGGGGUGAAUCAAGGACAAGCUAAGCAUAAAACUCAAGUUCUUUUUUUUUUUUGGUACUGGUUAUCAAACUCGGAACCUUGUGAUUUCAAGGCAGGCAGUGAAACCACUGAGCUAAAUCCCUGGCCAAACUCAAGUUCUUAACUGGCAGUCUAGUGAUACCACUGCAUGCAACAACAGUGGGUGAAAAUUAACAUCCAAUCCCUUGAUAGAUUUACAAAUUGUAAGCCUCCAAAGAGCAACUCUGGCAUCAACUGAUAACUAACAUUUUCAAUACUGAGGAUGCACUAUCUUUCUUCUCUGGAGAAACCAAAUGCCCUGAAGUCUGAAAACCACCUGCCGCCAACUGUUAGGAGAACCUGAAUCAUUGUGCUCAAGACUGCACUAUCCCAGGCUCAUCAGCACCAGCAAAUAUAAAUGCUGACUCCUGUUGGGUUUUUAUUCAAAAAGUACUGUGAAUCUCUUCCAGGAUGCCCACACAUUGACCAUUGCUGUGGUAACUUCCCUCCAAGAGCUCCCCAAAGUGUGUCUUUUUGGUCUCCAAGCUGUAGUCUCUCUGCACCAAGACCCGUGUUGCUUUGCUGAUCUCAGGCCACGGACAAUAACACUUGCUGAUCUUCUCAGAGCCUGGUUACCUCCAAGGAAAAAGUCUUUAGCUAUUUAUACCUGUUUCCAUCUGUUGCCUCAGUCUCUCUCUGCAGCCAUAGGCACCUUCAUAGCAGAGCUCCUUGAGUGAGGCCUUUAGCUUACCUCUUUUCUUCCUCAUAGGCUUAGAGAAGAGAUACACAGGGCACAGCAGGUAAUGAUCUCUCCUGUCCCAACACCUCCUGGAGCUUAAGAUUGGGGGUCAUUCCCUGGAACUUGAGAACAGUGUGCCAGGAAUGUGCUUUCCUGCCAGCUGCUCCCAUUCCUAUGGGAAUGUGCUGCCCUUGAGAUUAGCAUGGACACAGGAGAGGUUUCCUGAAUUGCUGGAGGGCCACGUUCCAGCUGCCAGAGGGUGACCUGAGUCUGAGCCUGAACCAGAGUAACCUCUGCCUCUGUCCUGUGGAGCAACUCCUUCAUUAAAAGGAAGGUGUCUGGCAAGCAGGAGUAUGAUUCUCUUCAAAAAGAGCCCCUGGGGUGUGCUCCAGAACAAGACAGCCCAGGUCUUCUGCUCAGCACAUCUGCUGCAGCCUUCUCAGCUCCACCAGCUCUAAAGUAGUACACCCUUGCAGUCAAGCUUCUCAGGAUGCUGGUGUGCAGGAUCACCUGAGCCCAGAAGUUCAAGGGCAGCCAGUGUAACACAGUGAGACCAAUCUCAAUAACCAAAUAAAAAUAAAAAUAAAAAUAAAAUCAGGUUUCAUCUGAUGGGCUCUAAGUCUGACAGAAUCUUGACCCCUCCAGCUUCACGCACAUGCAGAGACCAGGCAGCCCUCACCAAAGCUGCUGUGAACCCUGACUUUGAGUGGUGGGACAAGGUGUUUCCUGGAUCACCAAGGGGAGACCUGCCUCCCCUAGAGGGUGAGUGGGUCACGUGGUAGGGCAUAUAGGGAAGAACCUCACUAGAGACAGGGAUCUGGUGGCCUUCUCCAGCAGGACUGGAGACUGCUUGCUAAGGAGACUCCUGGUCACAAGGGCAGCCUAGCAGUGUUUAUCAGCAGCCCUUGCUAGCUGAGAGUACUAUAGUUUACAUGUAAAACACAGUUCAUAGGGAAUUGCUGAAAAUAAAAAGAGGAAAAUGGUAUUUGUGAGGAAAACCUUGGACAGAGAAACUGCAACAGCUACCCCAUUUCUCCCAUCUUCACCCUCACUUUGCCUCCAGCUGUGUGGCCUCAGCCAUCAAUCCUGUCUUUUAUCACUAGGCUUUAAAUGGACUAGAAAAGAAAUGCCUGCUGUAAAUUCCAGCUCUCAGCCUGUGAUUUAAUCUUUGCCCUCAUACCUGCCUGCUGCGGUCUGCAGUGGCUGGCCCACUCUUGUCACUUAUUAUAAACACCAGUGUGUUUCUGCAUAGUCUCUGCUUUUAUGAGUCUGCUGCUUUGGAAACAAAUCACAGGUCCCAGGUUCCCUAAGCCCUGUGGUGUGGAAUUUCUGGUAUGACAGCAUUUAGCUUCUGAACAAACAUGUUUGGCUUUGCCUCCUUUGGAGAGAGCACAAAGGGAAGAGCUGAAACUAGCACAAAGAGGUGCACAUCUCAGCAGCAGGACUUCCUUUCCACCAGCGGUGUUCGUGCUCACACUCCUCCAGGCCUCUUUUGUGGCGUCUAGGGUGCCCCUUUCUGGAUUUGGGCAGCUAACAUUUUGAUCAGGGGACAAAUUUUGUGUUAUCUCAUUGCAGCUGAAGGAGUCCUGAAGAGCCAGUGACUGAUCUGGAUAGUAUCUGUCACCUGUGACCAGGGUCUUGGAGUGAGGGGAAGAGAGGCACAACAACACAGGCAGCCAUGUCCCACACCAUUUUGGAACGGCCACUUUCCUUGGGGCUGUGACAGUCUAGAGGAGGAGACAGCUAUUGCCAAGGCACAGGGCCUUGCUUUAAGAUUUACCUGGCUGCUGGGAGUAAGAGGGGCAUAGGAGGCUGGCUAGGGAUCUACCGUGUCCUUUGAGGAGCAGCAAGCUUUGCAUCACUUCAAAGCCCUGAUGAAGGUGCGUGUUUGGUGCAGAAAUCUCGGAAGAAAUACAAGGAGACACAGAAUUCGGAUAAAAUAAUAAAAUUUCUUCUUGCAAGCGGGCAGGAAUGCCAGAAACAGAAAAGUCACCAAGUCAUUCUGCCCCAGCAUCUACACUCAAAAUGGAGAAAACUGCUACUUUACAAAAGGAACCACUCAGUAAAGCACAGUCUAAAAGCCACUGUCUGUGCCAUGAGGAUUCUAGUGGGCAGGAUGCAGCUUCAAAGCCACUGUUCUAUACCAUGGGGAGUCACUCUGGGCAGGGCACAGACUGCUCACCACAGGAGGCCAUGCACAGUUCACCCUCCUCUGAUCACCACGUGGACAAGCCCAGGCCAGCCUGCUGGAUGAUGAAGGAUUCAUGACCCAGCCAUCUUCGCCACUUCAAACAACAGGCAGAAGCAGAGUUCCUACCUGAUCUACAGCUGAGGCAAGGUGACACUGAAGAAUCAUUCAGUUGGUCCCUAGUCUGGAAAGCAACUAUAUAUGAUUACUAAAGCCACUGAGUUUGGAAUGUUGUUGUAACUGAUACGUCUUUUGUUUAUGACUUGUCAUUACUAACAACGCCACAGUUGGUAUGUUUGCACCUCUGAACAGUCUCUGAAUAGGAUAUGUUCCUAGAAGAAACUGCUAGAUCAGGUUUGCGAGAUUUUGGUAAAUAUUGUCAACUGUCUUCCUCAGAACUUAAAGCAAUUAUACUUUCACCAAUAAUAUAAUAGAGGUCUGUUUCCUCACACCUUCUCCAAUUAACCCAGCAUCAAUUUUUUUUUAUCAUUUUUGUCAGUCUUCUUUUUUUGAGGAGGGAUUACUAGGGAUUGAAUCCAAGGAUACUCUACCACUGAACUAUACCCCUAGGCUUUUUUAAAUUUGAUGUGAGAACAGGGUCUCAUUAAUAGUUGUCCAGGCUGCUCUCAAACUCACUACCCUCCUGCCUCCGCUAACUCUGCAUUUCUUUUUUUUUGGUACCAGCAAUCGAACUCGGACCUUGCACUUAUGAGGCAGGUGGCAGAACCACUGAGCUAAAAUCCCUGGCCCAAAUCUGCAUUUCUUUCAUAAUUGCCAUUGACUAUCUUCUCAUAUGAUUGGAAAAAUCAUUGGAUAUCCUUUUAUAUUAUAUUAAUUGUCCUUUAUGUAUAGUGUGUUGUAGUCUAUUAAUUUGUAGAAGCUCCAUCUAGGUUGAGGAAACUAACCUUUUGUCAUCUUUAAAAUAUUUUUUUUGAAAUAGGGUCUUGCUAUGUAGUUCAGGUAGGC
Molecule: non-coding RNA, 4089 nt
Organism: Heterocephalus glaber (naked mole-rat)
Lineage: Eukaryota; Metazoa; Chordata; Mammalia; Rodentia; Bathyergidae
Source: RefSeq, a predicted model, not a curated record